CCAAAAUGACCAAAGGGAUAUUCCAUGCUCAGCAAUAAAAACUGAGGGAAGGGUGAUUUUCAGGAAGGUAGACAUUUCUCUGAUAAUGGCUGAGAUUGGUCCGCUUAUGACAGGCGAACGAAUUACUGCAUCCUGGUUCCCUGUGCUUGCAGGAGUUAAACCGUGAGCACGAAGUGGCCUUUCCGUUUGCUGAACUGGAACGCUGAGUAACUAGCAUGACUGCCUUCUCUUUCAGGGUGGACUUUGAUGUCAGAAGUUAGAUAUUUCAUCUAACUAUCUCUGAGAUAAACAGAACAUUGCAAGUAUUCACUGGAUGGUUUACGCAGGAGUGAAAUACUCAUAAAGUGCAUUAAACAUCAACUUGGCCACAUCUUUUACAGUGCAUCUGCAAAGACACGGCGGGACUAGUGCUUCAGGGAAGUGACAGACUUGCUGCGCAGACCCGAACUGGUGGAACUGCAUGUGGGAUAAGAGUGGAUGACACAAGGACUUCCCUGAGUGGCCACAGAAACUGGAGCACAUUCCCACAGCAUGAAAAAUUUGCGCAGCCUAUUCCCAGCUGCCUGCCUUCCUGAGGAUAAAUCAGAGAACGUGGUGAAUGAAUUGUAAGCUGUAAUAAUGAUCCUUGGACUGUGAGUGGGGAGGAAGC
Grus americana (Whooping crane) is the source of this 649-nucleotide long non-coding RNA. RefSeq lists it as uncharacterized. Lineage: Eukaryota; Metazoa; Chordata; Aves; Gruiformes; Gruidae. The record is from RefSeq and is a predicted model, not a curated record. The transcript is spliced from 3 exons.